Molecule: ribosomal RNA, 460 nt
Filed under: uncultured bacterium
Lineage: Bacteria
Description: partial 16S ribosomal RNA
Rfam family: Bacterial small subunit ribosomal RNA
Source: RNAcentral
CCUACGGGCGGCAGCAGUGAGGAAUAUUGGUCAAUGGACGAGAGUCUGAACCAGCCAAGUAGCGUGAAGGAUGACUGCCCUAUGGGUUGUAAACUUCUUUUAUAAAGGAAUAAAACGAGGCACGUGUGCCUUUUUGCAUGUACUUUAUGAAUAAGGAUCGGCUAACUCCGUGCCAGCAGCCGCGGUAAUACGGAGGAUCCGAGCGUUAUCCGGAUUUAUUGGGUGUAAAGGGAGCGUAGAUGGGUUGUUAAGUCAGUUGUGAAAGUUUGCGGCUCAACCGUAAAAUUGCAAUUGAUACUGGCAGUCGUGAGUACAGUUGAGGUAGGCGGAAUUCGUGGUGUAGCGGUGAAAUGCUUAGAUAUCACGAAGAACCCCGAUUGCGAAGGCAGCUUACUAAACUGUGACUGACAUUGAUGCUCGAAAGUGUGGGUAUCAAACAGGAUUAGAUACCCGUGUAGUC